AAAUAGCCCUGAUAGAAGUGAAAAUCCUUUUCUAUUUUUCCUUUAAAAAUAGAAAAGAUUGCAACGAAUAGCAGGAAUAGCU
Small RNA from Hucho hucho (huchen), 82 nucleotides. NCBI's taxonomy places the organism in Eukaryota, Metazoa, Chordata, Actinopteri, Salmoniformes, Salmonidae. The record is from Ensembl.